GCUUUCUUCGCGGCGGAGCUCGACCGCCCAUCCAAGUGAUCGUCGACUUCAUCGACGAGCACCGUGACGAGUUCGGAGUCGAGCCAAUCGUGCGCGCCCUGCA
Molecule: non-coding RNA, 103 nt
Filed under: uncultured Brevibacterium sp.
Lineage: Bacteria; Bacillati; Actinomycetota; Actinomycetes; Micrococcales; Brevibacteriaceae
Description: ALIL pseudoknot
Rfam family: ALIL pseudoknot
Source: RNAcentral